CCUACGGGUGGCUGCAGUGGGGAAUAUUGGACAAUGGGGGCAACCCUGAUCCAGCCAUGCCGCGUGUGUGAAGAAGGCCCUCGGGUUGUAAAGCACUUUCAGUGAGGAAGAACGCCUGGUGGUUAAUACCCAUCAGGAAAGACAUCACUCACAGAAGAAGCACCGGCUAACUCCGUGCCAGCAGCCGCGGUAAUACGGAGGGUGCGAGCGUUAAUCGGAAUUACUGGGCGUAAAGCGCGCGUAGGUGGCUUGAUAAGCCGGUUGUGAAAGCCCCGGGCUCAACCUGGGAACGGCAUCCGGAACUGUCAAGCUAGAGUGCAGGAGAGGAAGGUAGAAUUCCCGGUGUAGCGGUGAAAUGCGUAGAGAUCGGGAGGAAUACCAGUGGCGAAGGCGGCCUUCUGGACUGACACUGACACUGAGGUGCGAAAGCGUGGGUAGCAAACAGGAUUAGAUACCAUAGUAGUC
Molecule: ribosomal RNA, 465 nt
Filed under: Vreelandella stevensii
Lineage: Bacteria; Pseudomonadati; Pseudomonadota; Gammaproteobacteria; Oceanospirillales; Halomonadaceae
Description: partial 16S ribosomal RNA
Rfam family: Bacterial small subunit ribosomal RNA
Source: RNAcentral